RNAcentral lists this ribosomal RNA (253 nucleotides) under uncultured bacterium. RNAcentral describes it as "partial 16S ribosomal RNA". It matches the Rfam family "Bacterial small subunit ribosomal RNA", at positions 524 to 776 of the family's 1533-position model. The record is from RNAcentral.
UACGUAGGGGCCGAGCGUUGUCCGGAGUUAUUGGGCGUAAAGCGUGCGCAGGCGGCUUCGCAAGUCAGACGUGAAAUCCCCGGGCUUAACCUGGGAAUGGCGUUUGAAACUACGGAGCUGGAGUAUGGCAGAGGGGGGUGGAAUUCCACGUGUAGCGGUGAAAUGCGUAGAUAUGUGGAGGAACACCGAUGGCGAAGGCAGCCCCCUGGGCCAAUACUGACGCUCAUGCACGAAAGCGUGGGGAGCGAACAGG